RNAcentral lists this ribosomal RNA (497 nucleotides) under uncultured bacterium. Its description in RNAcentral is "partial 16S ribosomal RNA". It matches the Rfam family "Bacterial small subunit ribosomal RNA", at positions 28 to 507 of the family's 1533-position model. The record is from RNAcentral.
GAUGAACGCUGGCGGCGUGCCUAAUACAUGCAAGUCGAACGCUGAAGGAAGGAGCUUGCUCUUUCCGGAUGAGUUGCGAACGGGUGAGUAACGCGUAGGUAACCUGCCUGGUAGCGGGGGAUAACUAUGGGAAACGAUAGCUAAUACCGCAUAACAGUAGAUGUUGCAUGAUAUCUACUUAAAAGGCGCAAUUGCUCCACUACAAGAUGGACCUGCGUUGUAUUAGCUAGUUGGUGAGGUAACGGCUCACCAAGGCGACGAUACAUAGCCGACCUGAGAGGGUGAUCGGCCACACUGGGACUGAGACACGGCCCAGACUUCCUCGGGAGGCAGCAGUAGGGAAUCUUCGGCAAUGGGCGGAAGUCUGACCGAGCAACGCCGCGGGAGUGAAGAAGGUUUUCGGAUCGGAAAGCUCUGUUUUAAGAGAAGAACGAGAGUGGGAGUGGAAAGUUCACACUGUGACGGUAUCUUACCAGAAAGGGACGGCUAACUACGUG